RNAcentral lists this long non-coding RNA (670 nucleotides) under Panax ginseng (ginseng). RNAcentral describes it as "long non-coding RNA (PGIN_LNC009759)". Lineage: Eukaryota; Viridiplantae; Streptophyta; Magnoliopsida; Apiales; Araliaceae. The record is from RNAcentral.
AGAUGUUUUAGCUGUCCUCACUAUUUCUGUAAAAUAGUGUAUGAAUAAUUAAUGAGGACUUAUUUGGGUGUGUAUAUUGUCUAGAAGACAAUAUUUGUAUUCAAACUCACAGUUGUAUUGUCGUAUUCUACACGACAUCUGUAUUGUCAAAGUUGUAGUUUGCUUUCUAUACCAUGUAUUUUGGCGACUCAGAAUGGGUGUUGUAUACCUAUUUUGGGGGCGUCACAACGGCUGCCGGCGAGGAGAGGGACGGGACGAGUGGGAGAAGGGAAGAACAGCACAACAGCAGAAAGAGAGAGGAAAAAACUUAAUCAGCAGCAGUAGAAGUAAAGUGCGCUGCUGAUAGCGAAUAGGUUUUAAGGCUUAUUUCCGACGGAAUUCCGUCGAGGUUAGUUCCAUCGACAAUAAGGUAACCUCGAAGCACAAUCCGUUGACUUUAAUAUCAAUUCGAUCGAGGUUGUUAUUGGCGCUGGAGGGAAACUUUCGCGCCACAAGCAUGGUAUAAGAUCGACUGAAUUUCGUCGAAUUUGUUCUAUUCUCGAGGGAUUUAUGAACGAAUGAAUAUUCCGUCAGGAAUAUAUUAAUUCCGAGCUAAUAUAUUCAGUCGACCUUAAUUCCGUCGGAAUAGUCCUAUUUCUUAUAAUGUUUCUUUGUGCUUUGCAAAUAAGGG